Molecule: ribosomal RNA, 522 nt
Filed under: uncultured fungus
Lineage: Eukaryota; Fungi
Description: SSU rRNA
Rfam family: Eukaryotic small subunit ribosomal RNA
Source: RNAcentral
AGCAGCCGCGGUAAUUCCAGCUCCAAUAGCGUAUAUUAAAGUUGUUGCAGUUAAAAAGCUCGUAGUUGAAUUUCGGGGUUAGUAGGUUGGUCAUGCCUCUGGUAUGUACUGGUCUCACUGAUUCCUCCCUCUUGACGAACUGUAAUGUCAUUAAUUUGGUGUUGCAGGAAAUCAGGACUGUUACUUUGAAAAAAUUAGAGUGUUUAAAGCAGGCUAAGGCUUGAAUACAUUAGCAUGGAAUAAUGAAAUAGGACGUUUGAUCCUAUUUUGUUGGUUUCUAGGAUUGACGUAAUGAUUAAUAGGGAUAGUUGGGGGCAUUAGUAUUCAAUUGUCAGAGGUGAAAUUCUUGGAUUUAUUGAAGACUAACUACUGCGAAAGCAUUUGCCAAGGAUGUUUUCAUUAAUCAAGAACGAAAGUUAGGGGAUCGAAGACGAUCAGAUACCGUCGUAGUCUUAACCAUAAACUAUGCCGACUAGGGAUCGGAUGAUGUUAAUUAUUUAAUGACUCAUUCGGCGCCUUACG